AGAGUUUGAUCCUGGCUCAGAGCGAACGCUGGCGGCAGGCUUAACACAUGCAAGUCGAACGGGCGUAGCAAUACGUCAGUGGCAGACGGGUGAGUAACACGUGGGAACGUACCUUUUGGUUCGGAACAACUGAGGGAAACUUCAGCUAAUACCGGAUAAGCCCUUACGGGGAAAGAUUUAUCGCCGAAAGAUCGGCCCGCGUCUGAUUAGCUAGUUGGUGGGGUAAGAGCCCACCAAGGCGACGAUCAGUAGCUGGUCUGAGAGGAUGAUCAGCCACAUUGGGACUGAGACACGGCCCAAACUCCUACGGGAGGCAGCAGUGGGGAAUAUUGGACAAUGGGCGAAAGCCUGAUCCAGCCAUGCCGCGUGAGUGAUGAAGGCCCUAGGGUUGUAAAGCUCUUUUAACGGGGAAGAUAAUGACGGUACCCGUAGAAUAAGCCCCGGCUAACUUCGUGCCAGCAGCCGCGGUAAUACGAAGGGGGCUAGCGUUGCUCGGAAUCACUGGGCGUAAAGCGCACGUAGGCGGACUCUUAAGUCGGUGGUGAAAUCCUGGAGC
RNAcentral lists this ribosomal RNA (556 nucleotides) under uncultured bacterium. RNAcentral's name for it is "bacterial SSU rRNA". It matches the Rfam family "Bacterial small subunit ribosomal RNA", at positions 8 to 608 of the family's 1533-position model. The record is from RNAcentral.